UACAGAGGUCUCAAGCGUUGUUCGGAUUUAUUGGGCGUAAAGGGUGCGUAGGCGGCGCGGUAAGUCGGGUGUGAAAUCUCGGAGCUUAACUCCGAAACUGCAUUCGAUACUGCCGUGCUUGAGGACUGGAGAGGAGACUGGAAUUUACGGUGUAGCGGUGAAAUGCGUAGAUAUCGUAAGGAAGACCAGUGGCGAAGGCGGGUCUCUGGACAGUUACUGACACUGAGGCGCGACAGCGUGGGGAGCAAACAGG
This 253-nucleotide ribosomal RNA is filed under the name uncultured bacterium. RNAcentral's name for it is "partial 16S ribosomal RNA". It matches the Rfam family "Bacterial small subunit ribosomal RNA", at positions 524 to 776 of the family's 1533-position model. The record is from RNAcentral.